CUAGUGGCGGACGGGUGAGUAACGGCGUGGGUAACCUGCCGUCAGUACAGGGGGGAUAGCAGUUGGAAACGACUGAUAACACCGCAUAAGCGCACGGUAUCGCAUGAUACAGUGUGAAAAUAUUUAUAGGGUAUGAGAUGGACCCGCGUCUGAUUAGCUAGUGGUGAGGUAACGGCCCACCAAGGCGACGAUCAGUAGCCGGCCUGAGAGGGCGGACGGCCACAUUGGGACUGAGACACGGCCCAAACUCCUACGGGAGGCAGCAGUGGGGGAUAUUGCACAAUGGGCGAAAGCCUGAUGCAGCGACGCCCGCGUGAGUGAAGAAGUAUUUCGGUAUGUAAAGCUCUAUCAGCAGGGAAGAAAGACCUCGUAAGAGGGGAUGACGGUACCUGAGUAAGAAGCCCCGGCUAACUACGUGCCAGCCGCGGC
RNAcentral lists this ribosomal RNA (429 nucleotides) under uncultured bacterium. RNAcentral describes it as "bacterial SSU rRNA". It matches the Rfam family "Bacterial small subunit ribosomal RNA", at positions 92 to 518 of the family's 1533-position model. The record is from RNAcentral.